Molecule: ribosomal RNA, 492 nt
Filed under: uncultured bacterium
Lineage: Bacteria
Description: partial 16S ribosomal RNA
Rfam family: Bacterial small subunit ribosomal RNA
Source: RNAcentral
AGUGAACGCUGGCGGUAGGCCUAACACAUGCAAGUCGAACGGCAGCACAGUAAGAGCUUGCUCUUACGGGUGGCGAGUGGCGGACGGGUGAGGAAUACAUCGGAAUCUACUUUUUCGUGGGGGAUAACGUAGGGAAACUUACGCUAAUACCGCAUACGACCUACGGGUGAAAGCAGGGGAUCUUCGGACCUUGCGCGAUUGAAUGAGCCGAUGUCGGAUUAGCUAGUUGGCGGGGUAAAGGCCCACCAAGGCGACGAUCCGUAGCUGGUCUGAGAGGAUGAUCAGCCACACUGGAACUGAGACACGGUCCAGACUCCUACGGGAGGCAGCAGUGGGGAAUAUUGGACAAAGGGCGCAAGCCUGAUCCAGCCAUACCGCGUGGGUGAAGAAGGCCUUCGGGUUGUAAAGCCCUUUUGUUGGGAAAGAAAAGCAGCAGAUUAAUACCCCGCUGUUCUGACGGUACCCAAAGAAUAAGCACCGGCUAACUUCGUG